GGUUUCCGUAGGUGAACCUGCGGAAGGAUCAUUACCGAGUGAGGGCUGCCUUCGGGCGCCCAACCUCCCACCCGUGAAUACCUUACCACUGUUGCUUCGGCGAGGAGCCCCUUCCGGGGGGCGAGUCGCCGGGGACCACAUGAACUUCUUGAUUGUAGAGUUGCGUCUGAGCCUGAAAUAUAAAUCAGUCAAAACUUUCAACAAUGGAUCUCUUGGUUCCGGCAUCGAUGAAGAACGCAGCGAACUGCGAUAAGUAAUGUGAAUUGCAGAAUUCAGUGAAUCAUCGAGUCUUUGAACGCACAUUGCGCCCCCUGGCAUUCCGGGGGGCAUGCCUGUCCGAGCGUCAUUGCUGCCCUUCAAGCCCGGCUUGUGUGUUGGGUCGUCGUCCCCUCCGGGGGACGGGCCCGAAAGGCAGCGGCGGCACCGCGUCCGGUCCUCGAGCGUAUGGGGCUUUGUCACCCGCUCGAUAAGGACCGGCCGGGCGCCAGCCGGCGUCUCCAACCUUUUUUUCUCAGGUUGACCUCGGAUCAGGUAGGGAUACCCGCUGAACUUAAGCAU
This 558-nucleotide ribosomal RNA is filed under the name fungal sp. 54890. RNAcentral describes it as "eukaryotic LSU rRNA". The stretch from base 193 to 346 matches the Rfam family "5.8S ribosomal RNA". Lineage: Eukaryota; Fungi. The record is from RNAcentral.